Delphinapterus leucas (beluga whale) is the source of this 1891-nucleotide non-coding RNA. The record is from RefSeq and is a predicted model, not a curated record. NCBI's taxonomy places the organism in Eukaryota, Metazoa, Chordata, Mammalia, Artiodactyla, Monodontidae.
UCCACCGAGAUGCUCCUCGGGCCGCGCUCUUCACGGCCGCAGCCGCCUCAGUGCCGCGUUCCUCAAGGCCGCGCUCGCCUCACGGCCGCUCAGCGCUCUGGGCGCGGUCCGCCGGGAGGAGCGGGGACGGGCGACCGCCGGCGAGCCAAGAAUUUUGAGAGGAGUGAUUUUUAAAGAAGUGACCCGUGUACGGCAUGUUUUGACUGCUGUGUCUCACUAUAUCAAGUUUUUAUGUAAGUUUUUUCCAUUUUCAGGUAAUCUCUGAUUUUGAUUAAUGCAACAGUGACAACAGUUGAUAACGUUUUUCUGUUGAUUUGCCUAAUGUCUGUGUUCAUCUAAAUAGUUUCCAAUGCAUCUUCACAUUUUAAACUCUUUUAAACUAUAACUUAGACCCCAUUUCACAUUCAUGCUUUAUAUUGCCGAGACUCUGCUUUGGGGAGGAGCAAAUCGUCUUCCCUUCUGAAACGGCACUGCUUGGGAACUAGUUGGGUCCCGGGUAUUCUGGGGAAGUGACACAGUGUUGACCUAGGAGGGGGUCCUGAUCUCUCCCCAUGGGGAGAAGGAACAGAGAGGAAGUUGAGGCUGGCGACCCUCUUGGGACAUGCCCACACCCACCCUCUCCAAGGGCUCUGCCCUGGACAUCCACCUGGGCGUGGGGAGGCCUGGAUACACCGUUGGCAGAGAAGCUGGGCGGGAAGAAGCCGGCCCAGCGCCCGCCACUGUAAGAGGAAACGAAGAGAGACAGCUCCAGUCAGCCCCAGAAGCGAGGCCUGGAAAAACUGCAGCUGGAGCUAGCACAAAGGACUUUUCAGACCCUGCAGCCAAGGUGCCCAGUGAGCUUUUUUUUUUUUUUUUUUUUAAAACAGCUAUUAGGGCGACGAGCCUUUCCAAAGGCCAGCAGUUGGCGAGGGUUUCCAGGAAGCUGGUCUGGCACCAGGCUGGGAUUGGAGCAACUUUAACGAGUUAACUUCAGAAGGAAGGAAUCAUCAGGAAAGGUUUAAGGUUCAGCAAACUUUUUGGAUUAUUUUGCAAAACGUUCUGGCUUUCAAAUUCAAAGGCGUGUUUUGCCGUGACUGUUUUAAGCCAGAGCCUGUUUCAAAGGCAGCGCAGCCCGCACGUUUCUGAUUCAUUCACUCCAGGUAUUUGUCUCGACUUCUCUGGACGAGCUCUGCAAGUGCCAUCCAGUGCCGGGAAGUACUGGGGUCACCUUACACGUCUCAUCAAACAUUGCUCCACCCACGUGCCUCUCCCUCCGCCAGCCCCCAUGGCCAUGUGUGCACACGCGCGCGCACACACGCGCACACCUUCCCCAAGCAGGAAGCUGCUCUUUGCCAAGAGCGAAUGGAAUUCAGAUUUCCAGAGGGUGUCCUUGGCCUCCAGCUCCACAGCCACACGCUGAAGAAAGGUCCUAGUGUGUGUGGUGGGGACUGAGAGAGAGGGGCCUCCAUCUCUGCUCACGUCUAUCUCGGCCCCAAGAAAAACCCACAACUGGCGGCAGGCUCCUCGGCCACACCCGGCCUCGGUCACAUUCCUUCCCUUCCCGAGCCCGCACGGGUGGCCCCAGCACACCAGCCUCCACAGCUUCCUCCCCGCCGGAGGGGAGACCUAGGCCGGGCCCUUGUGGGGCAACCAGCAAUUCCAAGUGAGGCGCCCGCACCCCGGGCCUGAAGCGGUAGGAAACCACCGAGGGGCCCUCCGGGCCGGGCCUCCGGCUUGGGCCCGCGCUCACCUACGCGGGGGAGGACGGCGCUGCUUCUCCCUUCAGCACAGUGGGGCCGGCCCUCUUCCUAUCCAGCCUUUGCUCUGCUGGCUGCGGAGCUGGUGGGCCUGCUGCAAAGGCUGACGCCGCCCUUUCCCACCACAGGGUCCCUGCGUACAUAGCGGCCAGAAG